UCCUACGGGAGGCAGCAGUGGGGAAUAUUGGACAAUGGGGGGAACCCUGAUCCAGCCAUGCCGCGUGUGUGAAGAAGGCCUUAUGGUUGUAAAGCACUUUAAGCGAGGAGGAGGCUCUCUUGGUUAAUACCCAAGAAGAGUGGACGUUACUCGCAGAAUAAGCACCGGCUAACUCUGUGCCAGCAGCCGCGGUAAUACAGAGGGUGCGAGCGUUAAUCGGAUUUACUGGGCGUAAAGCGUGCGUAGGCGGCUUUUUAAGUCGGAUGUGAAAUCCCCGAGCUUAACUUGGGAAUUGCAUUCGAUACUGGGAAGCUAGAGUAUGGGAGAGGAUGGUAGAAUUCCAGGUGUAGCGGUGAAAUGCGUAGAGAUCUGGAGGAAUACCGAUGGCGAAGGCAGCCAUCUGGCCUAAUACUGACGCUGAGGUACGAAAGCAUGGGGAGCAAACAGGAUUAGAUACCCUGGUAGUCCAUGCCGUAAACGAUGUCUACUAGCCGUUGGGGCCUUUGAGGCUUUAGUGGCGCAGCUAACGCGAUAAGUAGACCGCCUGGGGAGUACGGUCGCAAGACUAAAACUCAAAGGAAUUGACGG
RNAcentral lists this ribosomal RNA (588 nucleotides) under uncultured Acinetobacter sp. RNAcentral describes it as "bacterial SSU rRNA". It matches the Rfam family "Bacterial small subunit ribosomal RNA", at positions 337 to 916 of the family's 1533-position model. Lineage: Bacteria; Pseudomonadati; Pseudomonadota; Gammaproteobacteria; Moraxellales; Moraxellaceae. The record is from RNAcentral.